GUUUGAUCCUGGCUCAGGAUGAACGCUGGCGGCGUGCCUAAUACAUGCAAGUCGAGCGAACGGACGAGAAGCUUGCUUCUCUGAAAUUAGCGGCGGACGGGUGAGUAACACGUGGAUAACCUACCUAUAAGACUGGGAUAACUUCGGGAAACCGGAGCUAAUACCGGAUAAUAUUUUGAACCGCAUGGUUCAAAAGUGAAAGACGGUCUUGCUGUCACUUAUAGAUGGAUCCGCGCUGCAUUAGCUAGUUGGUAAGGUAACGGCUUACCAAGGCAACGAUGCAUAGCCGACCUGAGAGGGUGAUCGGCCACACUGGAACUGAGACACGGUCCAGACUCCUACGGGAGGCAGCAGUAGGGAAUCUUCCGCAAUGGGCGAAAGCCUGACGGAGCAACGCCGCGUGAGUGAUGAAGGUCUUCGGAUCGUAAAACUCUGUUAUUAGGGAAGAACAUAUGUGUAAGUAACUGUGCACAUCUUGACGGUACCUAAUCAGAAAGCCACGGCUAACUACGUGCCAACAGCCGCGGUAAUACGUAGGUGGCAAGCGUUAUCCGGAAUUAUUGGGCGUAAAGCGCGCGUAGGCGGUUUUUUAAGUCUGAUGUGAAAGCCCACGGCUCAACCGUGGAGGGUCAUUGGAAACUGGAAAACUUGAGUGCAGAAGAGGAAAGUGGAAUUUCCAUGUGUAGCGGUGAAAUGCGCAGAGAUAUGGAGGAACACCCAGUGGCGAAAGGCGACUUUUCUGGUCUGUAACCUGACGCUGAUGUUGCGAAAGC
This 773-nucleotide ribosomal RNA is filed under the name Staphylococcus sp. RNAcentral describes it as "bacterial SSU rRNA". It matches the Rfam family "Bacterial small subunit ribosomal RNA", at positions 11 to 760 of the family's 1533-position model. The record is from RNAcentral. Lineage: Bacteria; Bacillati; Bacillota; Bacilli; Caryophanales; Staphylococcaceae.